RNAcentral lists this small RNA (3100 nucleotides) under Pan troglodytes (chimpanzee). RNAcentral's name for it is "processed transcript". Lineage: Eukaryota; Metazoa; Chordata; Mammalia; Primates; Hominidae. The record is from RNAcentral.
AAAUAAAAAAUAAUAAUAGCUGACAUUUAUCUGGCACUAUCAUCACACGGGGCCACUGUUCAACUCCCUUUGUCAAGAUGAACUCAUUCAUUCCUCAAAACCACCCCACUUUACAGAUGAGGAAAACUGAGGCCUAGAGAGGUGAGAUCAGUUACCCAAAGUCACAGAGUUCAUCAGAGACCAGGCUGGGCUCUGAACUGGAUCUUGACCCCAAGUCCUGGCCCUUAGCCACUUUGCUGGGCUGUGUCUCAGCAGAGACGAGAAUGACUGUUUUCAAGCCUGUUUCCUGGGUUGUUAAGUGGAGACAAUGGAUACAAGGCAGGUUGCCGAGUGAGUCAGAUGAGACAGUGUAGACAGCAGCCGGCACAGGGUCUGCCGGGGAAGUUUCAACAUUAGCCAGGCGGUGAUGUUCACCUUGGGAUACCAUGGGGCCGAGGAGUGGGCAUCAGGCGAGACUUCCCUUGAACCAGCUCUGGAGCAAUGCCCUUGCAAUUGCCAUGGAGAGGAACAGGGCCAGCUGGGGGCCAAGGUGACAGCUGAGCCCCCCAAGGGCACCUGCUACCCGAGCCCCCGAGGCCUCCAUCCCAGGCCCGGCCUCCCCAGAGAAGGGGCCAGAGGAACAGCCAAAUCCCAAGGCUAUAAAUACCUCGGCUGGCGUCGGCCCUGGCCGUGGAAUGUCGUGAAAGAAUUCUUAGCCAAAGCCAAAGAAGAUUUUCUUAAAAAAUGGGAAAGUCCCGCUCAGAACACAGCCCACUUGGAUCAGUUUGAACGAAUCAAGACCCUCGGCACGGGCUCCUUCGGGCGGGUGAUGCUGGUGAAACACAAGGAGACCGGGAACCACUAUGCCAUGAAGAUCCUCGACAAACAGAAGGUGGUGAAACUGAAACAGAUCGAACACACCCUGAAUGAAAAGCGCAUCCUGCAAGCUGUCAACUUUCCGUUCCUCGUCAAACUCGAGUUCUCCUUCAAGGACAACUCAAACUUAUACAUGGUCAUGGAGUACGUGCCCGGCGGGGAGAUGUUCUCACACCUACGGCGGAUCGGAAGGUUCAGCGAGCCCCAUGCCCGUUUCUACGCGGCCCAGAUCGUCCUGACCUUUGAGUAUCUGCACUCGCUGGAUCUCAUCUACAGGGACCUGAAGCCGGAGAAUCUGCUCAUUGACCAGCAGGGCUACAUUCAGGUGACAGACUUCGGUUUCGCCAAGCGCGUGAAGGGCCGCACUUGGACCUUGUGCGGCACCCCUGAGUACCUGGCCCCUGAGAUUAUCCUGAGCAAAGGCUACAACAAGGCCGUGGACUGGUGGGCCCUGGGGGUUCUUAUCUAUGAAAUGGCCGCUGGCUACCCGCCCUUCUUCGCAGACCAGCCCAUCCAGAUCUAUGAGAAGAUCGUCUCUGGGAAGGUGCGGUUCCCUUCCCACUUCAGCUCUGACUUGAAGGACCUGCUGCGGAACCUCCUGCAGGUAGAUCUCACCAAGCGCUUUGGGAACCUCAAGAAUGGGGUCAACGAUAUCAAGAACCACAAGUGGUUUGCCACAACUGACUGGAUUGCCAUCUACCAGAGGAAGGUGGAAGCUCCCUUCAUACCAAAGUUUAAAGGCCCUGGGGAUACGAGUAACUUUGACGACUAUGAGGAAGAAGAAAUCCGGGUCUCCAUCAAUGAGAAGUGUGGCAAGGAGUUUUCUGAGUUUUAGGGGCGUGCCUGUGCCCCCAUGGGUUUUUUCUUUUUUCUUUUUUUUGGUCGGGGGGGUGGGAGGGUUGGAUUGAACAGCCAGAGGGCCCCAGAGUUCCUUGCAUCUAAUUUCACCCCCACCCCACCCUCCAGGGUUAGGGGGAGCAGGAAGCCCAGAUAAUCAGAGGGACAGAAACACCAGCUGCUCCCCCUCAUCCCCUUCACCCUCCUGCCCCCUCUCCCACUUUUCCCUUCCUCCUUCCCCACAGCCCCCCAGCCCCUCAGCCCUCCCAGCCCACUUCUGCCUGUUUUAAACGAGUUUCUCAACUCCAGUCAGACCAGGUCUUGCUGGUGUAUCCAGGGACAGGGUAUGGAAAGAGGGGCUCACGCUUAACUCCAGCCCCCACCCACACCCCCAUCCCACCCAACCACAGGCCCCACUUGCUAAGGGCAAAUGAACGAAGCGCCAACCUUCCUUUCGGAGUAAUCCUGCCUGGGAAGGAGAGAUUUUUAGUGACAUGUUCAGUGGGUUGCUUGCUAGAAUUUUUUUAAAAAAACAACAAUUUAAAAUCUUAUUUAAGUUCCACCAGUGCCUCCCUCCCUCCUUCCUCUACUCCCACCCCUCCCAUGUCCCCCCAUUCCUCAAAUCCAUUUUAAAGAGAAGCAGACUGACUUUGGAAAGGGAGGCGCUGGGGUUUGAACCUCCCCGCUGCUAAUCUCCCCUGGGCCCCUCCCCGGGGAAUCCUCUCUGCCAAUCCUGCGAGGGUCUAGGCCCCUUUAGGAAGCCUCCGCUCUCUUCUUCCCCAACAGAUCUGUCUUCACCCUUGGGCUUUGAAAGCCAGACAAAGCAGCUGCCCCUCUCCCUGCCAAAGAGGAGUCAUCCCCCAAAAAGACAGAGGGGGAGCCCCAAGCCCAAGUCUUUCCUCCCAGCAGCGUUUUCCCCCAACUCCUUAAUUUUAUUCUCCGCUAGAUUUUAACGUCCAGCCUUCCCUCAGCUGAGUGGGGAGGGCAUCCCUGCAAAAGGGAACAGAAGAGGCCAAGUCCCCCCAAGCCACGGCCCGGGGUUCAAGGCUAGAGCUGCUGGGGAGGGGCUGCCUGUUUUACUCACCCACCAGCUUCCGCCUCCCCCAUCCUGGGCGCCCCUCCUCCAGCUUAGCUGUCAGCUGUCCAUCACCUCUCCCCCACUUUCUCAUUUGUGCUUUUUUCUCUCGUAAUAGAAAAGUGGGGAGCCGCUGGGGAGCCACCCCAUUCAUCCCCGUAUUUCCCCCUCUCAUAACUUCUCCCCAUCCCAGGAGGAGUUCUCAGGCCUGGGGUGGGGCCCCGGGUGGGUGCGGGGGCGAUUCAACCUGUGUGCUGCGAAGGACGAGACUUCCUCUUGAACAGUGUGCUGUUGUAAACAUAUUUGAAAACUAUUACCAAUAAAGUUUUGUUU